Macaca fascicularis (crab-eating macaque) is the source of this 2661-nucleotide long non-coding RNA. The record is from Ensembl. Lineage: Eukaryota; Metazoa; Chordata; Mammalia; Primates; Cercopithecidae.
GGCACAUUACAUACUGCACCCCCUAGAAAGCUGACCACUGUAUAGAGCAAUAAAAUGGCCUAUUGAAGGCAUAGCUGAAAUGUCAACUCAGAGGCAAUGCCUAGCAAUGGUGGGACACCAUCCUCCAGUAUAUCCCUCCAGUAUGCACUUCAGUCAGUGGUUCUCAACCAGGGGCAGUUUUGCCCCUGGAGGAAUAUUUGACAAUGUCUGGAGACACCUUUUUGUUGUUGUAAUGUAGUGGAGUAGGGGGUCUUGGGGAGGUGAACUGGGGUGGGUUGUGUUGUACUGGUAUCUAGUGGAUAGAGGGCAGAAGUACACUAAACAUCUUACACUCCAUAGAACAGCCCUCCCCAACAAAAAAUUAUUCCACUUAAAAUAUUAAUAAUGCCAAGGUGAAAAAACCCUGCUUUAAACCAAUGACCUUUACAUGAUGCUGUGUCCCUGUAGUUGAAAUUCAUUGAUCUGGGACCCAUGAGUUAAAAGCCAAGGAGCGCCACUUACCAUCACCACCAUUGACCUUCUCGGGGAGGGUUUCCCAUUUCUACAACUCUGGGCUUGAUGAGUUUAGAGGUUUGGUUUCCAAAUACACACGAGUCUUAUUGGACUAAAAGCUACAGCUGUUUCCUGGGCACUUCAGGCUCAUCUUACCAAGGGAGAAGCAGGCAAGAGGAGGAGUGACUCUCUUGGCAGGGGUAAUUGACCCUAAUCAUCACGAGGACUUAGAACUGUUUUUACUUAGUGGGGUAGGAAAAAUACACUUGACUUCUACAAGGACUUAGAGCUGUUUUUACUUCAUGGGGCAAGAAAACUACACUUGGCUUCUAGAUAUCUACUUGAGCAUCGUCUCUUGGUAACCGCUUCCCCAAUUUUGAUGUUAAAAGGACAAGGGCGGCACUUGGGGCCUGGGAAAGGCACAGUUACUGUAGGCUUAGACCUUUGAGGAUGAGGGUCUCAGUCACACCACCAGGAAAAACAUCGAGGCUAGCAGAAUGCUACCUGAAGGCAAAAGGAAUCUAGAAUGCAUAAUAGAAAAGAGAGAUGUGAGUAUCAAUUGUGGUCUGGAGACAAGCUUCAGAGAUAAAGGUUGUUUUGUUCUACUGACAUUCCUCCUAUAAGUUUCUUUAGGAAAAGAUGCCCAUGGAAUCCUGGAGGAACUGCUUCUGGAACUUAUGGUGAAGAAGUGGAUAUGAGCAUUACAGAGGAUGAAAUUUAGUGGAUGUUGUGAUGUGCUACCCAGAUGCCCCUCAAGAACUGAAGAGUUUCCUCUCCCCUCUGGGAAUGCUGCCAGCAGACAGCCUUUAGCUUCCAGACUUCUUAGAAACUGCCUAGGCUGAAGAGUGUGACCUCUCUUAAGGCUGUACUUCUUUCCCAGACCAUGUUCAAUGACUUGUUGAUGUAGAGGUAUAAAGGCCUCAUCCCUUUGCUCCAAUUUAAUAUAAUUUGGAAUGGCCAUCUCAACUAUAAAAUUCCUUGUGGGCUGGGUGUGGUGGCUCAUGCCUGUAAUUCUAACUACUUGGAGGCUGAGGCAGGAGGAUUGCUUGAAGCCAGGAGUUCAAGACCAGCCUUGGUAACCCUUUCUGAAAAAAAUAGAAAAAAAUAGCCAGACGCAAAUUACAGGCAUGUACCUGUUGUCCUAGCUGUAUAGGAGGAUGAGGUGGGAGGAUCACUUGAGCCUAGGAGUUCUAAGCUGCAGUAAGCCAUGAUUGCACCACUGCCUGGGUGACCGAGUAAGACCCUAUCUCUUAAAACAAAACCAAAGAACCCCAACAAACUCCUUAUAGAAUCUGCUGAAGCUUUUCUUGAGAGUGAAACACAGCCUAACUUUUCCCUCUGCUCAGUCCUGCUUGAUUCCCUUCCCUUCAGCAUGUUGCAGCCUUAAGAACCUUCCUUCUGGCUAUAAUCCCUGUCUCAGUCUGCUUCCUUGGGAACCCCAUCUGUGGCAGGUUACAAAUUGAGCCAAGGCAGUAGCAAUGGAGCUAGUGUAGACUUUUUAAGAUAUUUUAAGGAACAAUAGCGUUCACUACCAAUUGGAUGUAAAAGGAAAGGAAGAUGGAAGACUUAAUUAUAACUUCCACAUUUACUUGGACAACUGGGCAGUCAAUGGUGCAUUCAUCAAGAUAAGGAAUACAAAAGUAGAAGCAGAGUUUGGGGGAGAAAAUGACCAAUUUCUUCUUGUACAUUUUCAUCAUGUAUAUAAAGGAAAAUGCAACAACAUAAUAUAUGGAAAAUUAUUAGAUUAGACUAUAAAGUGCCACUUUUAUAUGUCAAAUUUGUUAAAUAUUGGCAAUUUCAAAUGGAUGAAACUAAUAAUUAUAUAUUAGCUUCUACAUGGGAAAAUUUACUAUUUUUAUUAAACCUUAGGUAGGUCAUGUAAGAUUUUAGAAAGGCAAUAUGUGUCAGAGUCAAAAGAUAAUAUUUUGGAUAAUAUAUCAUUUACAUUUAAGCUUCUGAAGCAAGAAUAUAAGUCACAUAUUGUUGCUUUAAGGCACAUUAGGGGAUCUUGAUGAAAUUGGGAACUUUGAUUUACAUCCAUUUUCUUCUAGAAGUUGAGACAUAAUUGCCAUAAGUAGAGCUAGGAAAGGUCACAGAUAACUUAAUUUCUAUGCCAAAGCUUUCUAUAGCGUGCUAUCAUCUGUCUUUAAAAAAAAAAAAAAAAAAAAA